Molecule: ribosomal RNA, 406 nt
Filed under: uncultured bacterium
Lineage: Bacteria
Description: partial 16S ribosomal RNA
Rfam family: Bacterial small subunit ribosomal RNA
Source: RNAcentral
AUUGAACGCUGGCGGGAGGCUUUACACAUGCCAGUCGAACGAGCGGCGGACGGGUGAGUAAUGUAUGGGGAUCUGCCUGAUGGAGGGGGAUAACUACUGGAAACGGUAGCUAAUACCGCAUACCAUAGGCUGAACCCAUGUGGGAUUAGCUAGUAGGUGGGGUAAAGGCGCACCAAGGCGACGAUCUCUAGCUGGUCUGAGAGGAUGAACAGCCACACUGGGACUGAGAGACGGCCCAGAGUCCUACGGGAGGCAGCAGUGGGGAAUAUUGCACAAUGGUGGCAAGCCUGAUGCAGCCAUGCCGCGUGGAUGAAGAAGGCCUUAGGGUUGUAAAGUACUUUCGGCAGGGAGGCGUUACCUGCAGAAGAAGCACCGGCUAACUCCGUGCCAGCAGCCGCGGUAAUUC